This is a non-coding RNA of Mycena floridula, 93 nucleotides long. NCBI's taxonomy places the organism in Eukaryota, Fungi, Basidiomycota, Agaricomycetes, Agaricales, Mycenaceae. The record is from the annotation of a GenBank genome assembly.
GGGCACAUGGUGUAGUUGGUUAUCACGCUCGCUUAGCAUAUGGAUACGAAUUCCUCAUGCGAGAGGUGUUGGGUUCAAUUCCCAAUGUGUCCA